This 4005-nucleotide long non-coding RNA is filed under the name Homo sapiens (human). RNAcentral's name for it is "HSALNT0376258". Lineage: Eukaryota; Metazoa; Chordata; Mammalia; Primates; Hominidae. The record is from RNAcentral.
AGUUUACCUUAAAGAGCAGCUGGUGCUUAAUGGAAAAUUUUGAGAAAGUUGUCGUUAUGAACCAAUUCAAUGGCUGGAGCAUUUCCUGCAAAGGCUCUUAUCUGGAGAAAGAGGAUUUCAGGAUGGGGUAAGAAGGUAUAUACUUCACUUUUAAGCAUUCAUCCUAAGAAGAUUUAGGAAACCAAGCAAAUCCAUGGCAAAUUGAAGGCAGAUAAUAAAUUUGAAGAUUUUCACCAGUGAAAUGUUUAAUGAUUUACCUUGUUAUUCAUAUUGUGAGUGUCGGCUCUAAGCACUGUUCCUUUCUCAACAAGGAGGCACUGAAGCAUUUUCUUACACCACGUCAUGAUGUUUGUAUGCUAUAUCCCCACUAUGGUAGUCACAGCUUGUUGAGUCAGAUUUACACCCGGAAGAAAAGUAACCAUUGAUAUCCUGGGUGGACUGGCUCUGGGUUCUGACCAACGACAGGUGCCCUUUAUUGUAUAAGGUCUGUCUAACAAAUCCUUUCACAGUGUCUGAGCAUAAGACAUCAACAGAGACUCGCAGAAAACACAAUGGCAAAGAAGCCAAGAUGCACAAAAAGCUCAUAGAAGCUGUGAAUGAGAAGAAACCUGGAGAUGCUGAGAAAAGCAGAGAGGCCAGUCAGAAGCAGCAGGAAAGAAAGAUGCUGAGCCAGAGAAGAGCUGAGUCCUGUGGGUGGGGCAGCCAAUGUCCUCUGGACAGGUGCUCCUGAGCUUCCAGGACUAUUGUCCCACAAUUAGAGCCCUUCAUGUCACCUAUGCAGUGUUCUGAUGCCAAUAAGCUGGCUGUUUGGCUGCUUAGAUUUUUUUUUCCUGCUCUUAUUUUCUGUGUCUCUAAAAAAACCAAAUUCAAAUUAACUGAGAUAACUUGUGUAGUCUCUUGCAAACCGAAGGAAACUGACACAUCUCACCGAGUGAGAUAGCAGCAUUGCUUCAUAGUUAAUAAUGAAAACAGACCAAGCACAGUGUCUCAUGCCUAUAAUCCUAGCACUUUGGGAGGCCAAGGCGGGAGCAUCACUUGAAGCCAAGAGUUCAAGACCAGUCUGGGCAACAUAGCAAGACCCCCUUCUCUACAAAAAAUUUUUUAAAAAAAUUAGCCAGAUGUGGUGGUGUGUGUCUAUAGUCCCAGCUUCUUAGGAGACUGAGGCAGGAGGAUCACUUGAGCCCAGGAGUUCAUGGGUGCAGUGAGCUAUGAUUACCCCAUUGCACUCCAGCCUGGGUGACAGAGUGAGACCUCAUCUCUAAUAAUAAUAAUAAACAGCUACCAUUUACUGAGCGCUCAUUAUGUGCCAGGUACUGUGACAAGAGUCGUAUGUACACGAUCUCAUUUAAACCCCAUGACAACAUUGCGAGACAGAUUCUUCCAUUAUCAUCAUUUUGCAUAUGAGGAGAGGGGGUCAGAGAAGUGAAAUAAUGUGCCCACAUUCACAGGGCUAGUCAAUGGCAUACUGGGGUCUGAAUCCAGGUCCACCAGGCUCUAGAACUGGCAUUCCUGACAAAUGUACCUGGCAGAGAUGGCUAGAUGCUCCCCUACAGUGGUGCUUCACCUUCCACAGAACACAGUUGUUGCUGGGAAGUCUCUACCUAGCUGGUCACUACAUUUCCCAACCCUCCUUGCUUCCAGGGGGAGCCAUGUGACUAGUUUUUGCCAGUGGGAUAUGCAUUUUGGUUUUGAGUGUCACCUGUGGGCUGAAAAUGCUUGCUUCACAACUUCCUCUUUUGCCAGCUCAAUGCCGAGACCACAAGGCUCCAGGGAACAACAGAAGCACAUUGUGGAAAAGUCCAGGUCUCUGAGUCACAACAGAAGAAAACUGCUGAACAAGAGCACCUGGAUUAUAUUAUCACAUGAGCUAGAAAUAAACUGGAAUUUGGGGGUCUAUUUGUUUCCGCAGUUUAACUAAUAAAGCUACACUGCCUCCCUUUCUUGCCUUGGGGGCUGAGAGCAGUAAAACAGGCUUACAGCUCAAAGCUCUGGGGCUCUGGUAGGUUACUCAAUGAGUUGCUGAAACAUUGUGGAAACUACCUCAGCUUGCACUGUUUUCCCAAACCAAGAGUAGCUCCCUGUUUUUAUUCAGCAUAACAGAAAAACCAGGCAUCAUAAACACAGAGUAUGUUUGUAAACACAUUAUACUCAUGCCUUCGCCAAAUCCUUGAAAACUCACGAGAAAAAAAUCAACAGAGCACUGAGCGUCGUAGCACCUCUCAUCUGUUAGAAGCCUCCUCCAUUCUAGUCCGAUUUAUAUUUAGACGUUAUUUCCUAUUUUACACCCCCGCCUGCCGAAUCGCAGCCACCUUUGGUGUGAAACAUGGCACCUGCUUAAUGGGCGCACAAGAGAUGACACAGCUGUUUUCAAUAGUAAGCGAAAGAGUAACACACCUGGGAAAAGGCAGAAUGACUGGAAAGGAGAAAAGCUGGGAAUUUGGAAAGUUUGCCUAUACUGCCACGUUGCUCAGUUGUGGCCUAUGUCAAUGAUGUGGGCAACUGGGAUUGAUCCUACCAGGACUCUCAAAGGACACAGAGUGCGUCUCAGAGUUAUCUGCCUGCAGAAGAGGAGAAAACAUUUACCCAUUAACUUUCAUCCUCUUUUGGCCAAGGGUUGCCCUGUAGGGUGUUAAGACCCUUCUACUUCCAGGUUGCACAUUCCUGAAGGCUGGCCAGCAGGUAUAUUACGCUCAGGUGUCAAAGAGGCCCCCAUUAACCAAAAAAAGGAUAUGAGGUGGGUCAGCAGUAGUGUCUGAUACAGGCCUCAAUGCUGAAAAAUGCAGGUGAGAUUUAAAUUACCUUCUAAUGCUGACAUACAAUGUCACUGCCCACACACCACUCCUCACCUGGCUGGGUAAAGACACAGGCUCGGGAAAUGGGAGCUUUGCCUCUAGUUUUGGAAUUUCUGCUGCUGGUUACUUGACUUAAGCAAACCAUUUAAUAUCUGGGCAUCUUACCUCUAAAAUAGGGACAUUAGGCUAAUUCAUUAUUUCCCAAAAUAUGUUCAAUGGUACACUAAUGUUACAGAAUGUUAAUUAACAGGUAUACCUGGGAAGAAGGGGUUUUGUGGCCAAAUAACAUGGGUAUAUGGAGCUAAAAAUAAGUUAUACCAAUUUCUUCCCUGAAGGAUAUCUCAGUCUUCUUAAUAUAUAACUGCACAAAAUCCUUUAUUUGAGAAACAUCUCACAGAAGUAGGUUGUUUUUUAUGUUAAUAUUUAUUGAGCACAUACUAUUUGCCAGGCAUCAUGCUAAGAACAUUUCAUGUACUAGUUUUUUUAUUUAUGUAUUUUAAAAAUAUUUGUUAAACUCUGCUAUGUACACCACAUUGUUCCUGGCACUGGAGAUACCUCCAUGAAAAAGGUAAAAUUCCUGAUUUUUACCUUGAGGGUGAGGUAGAGGGAAGACAGACAAUAAACAAGUAAACAAAUACAUAAACAAAAAAUUGGCAUACAUUAUCUUAUUCUCACAACAACUAGCAAGACAGGGACUGUUUUAUCAUGCUUAUUUAUAAAUAAUGAAACUAAGGAUCAGAGAGGGUACCUUAUUUAAAAAUCAGGGAGGUGGAAAUGCCAGAGCUAGGACAAUAUCUGCAUUGAAGUCUACUUCACAAAUGUUUUUGACAUCGUGUUCAUGGAACUGGAUUAAUCGGUAUCCUGGGUCCAUUGCAUACCUUGUCAUUGAUCCAUCUAAAGCUAAUGCCCAUAACCAAUAUGGUUUCAAUCACUCUGAUCUAUGUCUCUUCCACCAUCCUGAAGGCUAGUACUCUGCAUAAAACCAGUUUGAGAAACAAUGCCCUAGAGAGUCUGGAGAAAGGACCUCUGGGUCUAAUAGGACAAGCAGUCGCAAAAGAUUUCAACCAUACACAGGGUGGACAAUCGGAACUCAAAUGAUUGAGAGGUGAUGGAGUUGCAAAGUACUGCAUAAUGUCUUGUAAAUUAUGCCUGUCAACAAUUCUGAAUAGUCUUACAUUAUUAUUGUCUUCUUACCAUAACAAUUAAAUUUUUU